This 689-nucleotide ribosomal RNA is filed under the name uncultured Clostridium sp. RNAcentral's name for it is "bacterial SSU rRNA". It matches the Rfam family "Bacterial small subunit ribosomal RNA", at positions 59 to 776 of the family's 1533-position model. Lineage: Bacteria; Bacillati; Bacillota; Clostridia; Eubacteriales; Clostridiaceae. The record is from RNAcentral.
AAGUCGAGCGAUCUUCUUCGGAAGAGAGCGGCGGACGGGUGAGUAACGCGUGGGUAACCUGCCCUGUACACACGGAUAACAUACCGAAAGGUAUGCUAAUACGGGAUAACAUAAGAAAGUCGCAUGGCUUUCUUAUCAAAGCUUUUGCGGUACAGGAUGGACCCGCGUCUGAUUAGCUAGUUGGUAAGGUAACGGCUUACCAAGGCGACGAUCAGUAGCCGACCUGAGAGGGUGAUCGGCCACAUUGGAACUGAGACACGGUCCAAACUCCUACGGGAGGCAGCAGUGGGGAAUAUUGCACAAUGGGCGAAAGCCUGAUGCAGCAACGCCGCGUGAGCGAUGAAGGCCUUCGGGUCGUAAAGCUCUGUCCUCAAGGAAGAUAAUGACGGUACUUGAGGAGGAAGCCCCGGCUAACUACGUGCCAGCAGCCGCGGUAAUACGUAGGGGGCUAGCGUUAUCCGGAAUUACUGGGCGUAAAGGGUGCGUAGGCGGUCUUUCAAGUCAGAAGUGAAAGGCUACGGCUCAACCGUAGUAAGCUUUUGAAACUGUAAGACUUGAGUGCAGGAGAGGAGAGUGGAAUUCCUAGUGUAGCGGUGAAAUGCGUAGAUAUUAGGAGGAACACCAGUUGCGAAGGCGGCUCUCUGGACUGUAACUGACGCUGAGGCCCGAAAGCGUGGGGAGCAAACAGG